UGAAAUUCAAAGAAUAAAAACUUUAUUUUGAGAGGGAGACAACAUCAUAAACACUGGGAAAAGCUAGCAUAACAAUUCAUUCAUUCAUAAGCAUAGACAUACCACCUGUACCUCUUUGCAUUACAUACUAUUAAAUAGACUAUCAGUUAUCAGACUUUUUUGUAAUUUAUCCAAAACUUGCAAGUUUAAUUCAAAUUCAAAAAAUUUAAAUUGAAAAAGAGAGUAACACACCAAAUUAAAUUAAUAAAUAAUAGAAUAUAUAAUAUGCCUAUAGUCAAUUAGGCCAAGCUAAAAUCACUCAAAUCAGAUAAAUUGAUAAAAACAGAAGAAGAAAAAACAAUGCUGAACGUGUAGGCCUACUGUACGAGGGUGUGUGUGGGCGUAGUGAGCAGGUUUUAAAACAGCUUUGGACUGGAAAGUUUUGCUGGACCUGGCAACCCUGAUCACUGUGACCACACAGUCAGCUGUCCAGCACUUGAUCGUCGUGACUGAGAGUAACAAGUAACAUGGAUCGCUGGAAAGGCAGGGUUGCUCUUGUCACUGGAGCUUCAGUGGGAAUCGGAGCAGCAAUCGCAAAGUCUCUUGUCCAGCAUGGCAUGAAGGUGGUCGGCUGUGCCAGAAAUGUGGAGCAAAUUCAGAAACUGUCUUCAGAAUGUGUCAGUAGUGGAUUCAGCGGCACUCUGAUCCCAUACAAAUGUGAUCUGUCUGUAGAGGACGACAUGUUAUCCAUGUUCUCCUGGAUCAAAGUUCAACACCAAGGCGUUGAUGUGUGCAUUAAUAAUGCUGGUUUGGCUCUCCCAGAGCCUCUGUUGAGCGGCAAAACCAGUGGCUGGAAGACUAUGAUGGACGUGAAUGUCAUUGGCCUGUCAGUGUGCACCCGUGAGGCUUACCAGUCCAUGAAAGAAAGAAAUAUUGAUGAUGGUCAUAUCAUUAAUAUUAACAGCAUGAGUGGACACCGGGUCGUCAACAGUGCUGAUGCACACUUCUACACUGCCAGCAAAUAUGCAGUGACGGCUCUCACAGAAGGUUUGAGGCAAGAGUUACGAGAGGCCAAAACCCACAUACGUGCCACAGUAAGAGCAGGAGGAUCAAGAUGUGCAUCUGUUGAACACUUUAUUUAUUGGAGACAGAAUUUGCCUACCGACUCUUUAGCGAAAACCCAGAAAAGGCUGCUGCUACUUAUAAAAGUAUAAAGUGCCUACAAGCAGCUGACAUCGCAAACGCAGUGGUGUAUGUCCUGAGUGCUCCUCCUCAUGUUCAAAUUGGUGACAUUCAGAUGAGGCCCGUGGAGCAGCUGACAUAAACUGGACCGAGAAACAGGAUGAAGCAUUUCUGACAUCUUAAUAGCUCAUGAAUGGUAUAAUAUGAAAUGCAGAGCUGACAAAUCCACAAGAAUGUGCCAUAAACUAUUUAUGCACGCCAAAUCUUUGAAAUGCAAAUAGCAAGAACACAGAACACUGCUGUCUGAUCAUGACGUUUACAUUUUUAUAAUUACUAUAAUGACUAUUAUUGUACAUGUUGUAAAAAAAUACCAAAUUAGUAUUAAAGAAAUAAUUUAAUAAGCACCAAUGGUACUUUGCAUGAAGUAUUGAGGCAGAAUCAGUGUAAUUUAUUUUGCUUGGCAUCAUAAUGAUUGAGUGAUUGAAUGAACAUUUUCAGAUAAACAAAUAUUUUGAGUUAUGUUAAGGAAAUUUGAUACUUCUUUAUUAGUUUCUCUUCAGUGCUGUGCCUGCAGUUGUAAUGUACUGUAAUGUUUUUAAAUGAGGUAUUAACUAAUAAAAAGAGGGAAUUGUG
This is an RNA transcript of Onychostoma macrolepis, 1794 nucleotides long. It is a transcript of the gene named dehydrogenase/reductase 11b, tandem duplicate 1, with no coding region annotated. Lineage: Eukaryota; Metazoa; Chordata; Actinopteri; Cypriniformes; Cyprinidae. The transcript has 7 exons. The record is from RefSeq and is a predicted model, not a curated record.